GACGAACGCUGGCGGCGUGCUUAACACAUGCAAGUCGAACGGAAAGGCCCUGCUUGCAGGGUUCUCGAGUGGCGAACGGGUGAGUAACACGUGGGUGAUCUGCCCUGCACUUCGGGAUAAGCUUGGGAAACUGGGUCUAAUACCGGAUAGGAGCCAUCUUUAGUGUGGUGGUUGGAAAGUUUUUUCGGUGUAGGAUGAGCUCGCGGCCUAUCAGCUUGUUGGUGGGGUAAUGGCCUACCAAGGCGGCGACGGGUAGCCGGCCUGAGAGGGUGUACGGCCACAUUGGGACUGAGAUACGGCCCAGACUCCUACGGGAGGCAGCAGUGGGGAAUAUUGCACAAUGGGCGCAAGCCUGAUGCAGCGACGCCGCGUGGGGGAUGAAGGCCUUCGGGUUGUAAACUCCUUUCGCUAGGGACGAAGCUUUUUUGUGACGGUACCUAGAUAAGAAGCACCGGCUAACUACGUG
Molecule: ribosomal RNA, 466 nt
Filed under: uncultured bacterium
Lineage: Bacteria
Description: partial 16S ribosomal RNA
Rfam family: Bacterial small subunit ribosomal RNA
Source: RNAcentral